GAUGAAGAACGUAGCGAAAUGCGAUAAGUAAUGUGAAUUGCAGAAUUCAGUGAAUCAUCGAAUCUUUGAACGCACAUUGCGCCCGCCAGCAUUCUGGCGGGCAUGCCUGUUCGAGCGUCAUUUCAACCCUCGAGCCCCCCCGGGGGCCUCGGUGUUGGGGGACGGCACACCAGCCGCCCCCGAAAUGCAGUGGCGACCCCGCCGCAGCCUCCCCUGCGUAGUAGCACACACCUCGCACCGGAGCGCGGAGGCGGUCACGCCGUAAAACGCCCAACUUUCUUAGAGUUGACCUCGGAUCAGGUAGGAAGACCCGCUGAACUUAAGCAUAUCAUAAGCGGAGGA
RNAcentral lists this unclassified non-coding RNA (342 nucleotides) under soil metagenome. RNAcentral's name for it is "partial contains 5.8S ribosomal RNA, internal transcribed spacer 2, and large subunit ribosomal RNA". The stretch from base 1 to 120 matches the Rfam family "5.8S ribosomal RNA", at positions 35 to 154 of the family's 154-position model. The record is from RNAcentral.